RNAcentral lists this ribosomal RNA (468 nucleotides) under uncultured bacterium. RNAcentral describes it as "partial 16S ribosomal RNA". It matches the Rfam family "Bacterial small subunit ribosomal RNA", at positions 28 to 507 of the family's 1533-position model. The record is from RNAcentral.
GAUGAACGCUGGCGGCGUGCUUAACACAUGCAAGUCGAACGGAAAGGCCCUGCGCUUGUUGGGUGCUCGAUAGGCGAACGGGUGAGUAACACGUGAGGAACCUGUCCUUGAAUUUGUGAUAACUUUAGGGAACUGGGGCGAAAAUCCGAGAUGAGCUCUUGCUGCGCGUGGGUGAAUGGUAAAUUUCGGCGGUGGGGGAUGUACUGGAGGGUUAUGAGCUUGUUGGUGGGGUAGUUGCUUUCCAGGGCUUUGACGGGUAGGCGGCCUGGGAGGGUGACCGGCCACAUUGGGACUGAGAGACGGACCAGACUCCUACGGGAGGCAGCAGUGGGGAAUAUUGCACAAUGGGCGGAAGCCUGAUGCAGAAACGCCGCGUGCGGGAUGACGGCUUUCGGGUUGUAAACAGCUUUCGCCUGUGACGAAGCGUGCGUGACGGUAAUGGGUAAAGAAGCACCGGCUAACUACGUG